ACUCUAAAUGGAAGCACUGUCUGUGUUCUAAGAAAAGAUCGUGCAGCCCUUUAGAGUGU
Molecule: microRNA precursor, 59 nt
Filed under: Macaca mulatta (Rhesus monkey)
Lineage: Eukaryota; Metazoa; Chordata; Mammalia; Primates; Cercopithecidae
Description: Mml-Mir-430-P29b-v1_pre stem-loop
Source: RNAcentral